Molecule: ribosomal RNA, 251 nt
Filed under: uncultured prokaryote
Description: partial 16S rRNA
Rfam family: Bacterial small subunit ribosomal RNA
Source: RNAcentral
ACGGAGGGUGCAAGCGUUAUUCGGAUUCAUUGGGCUUAAAGGGCGCGCAGGCGGCUAUGUAAGUCAGAGGUGAAAUUUUUGAGCUUAACCCGGGAAGUGCAGUUGAUACUGUAUAGCUUGAAUAUGGUUGAUGUAAGUGGAAUUCCUGGUGUAGAGGUGAAAUGCGUAGAUAUUACGCAGAAUACCGAUUGCGAAGGCAACUUACUAGCCCGUUAUUGACGCUCAGGCGCGAAAGUGUGGGGAUCAAACAG